UAUUGCUGAAUAAGGACUGCUGUUUAUAUUGUUACAAGUUUGAUGAAUAUAUUCUGGCAGUUGUUGAGAUAAUUAGAAAAGGCUGAUAAAAUUUCAAAUCUGUU
Molecule: long non-coding RNA, 104 nt
Organism: Etheostoma spectabile (orangethroat darter)
Lineage: Eukaryota; Metazoa; Chordata; Actinopteri; Perciformes; Percidae
Exons: 3
Source: RefSeq, a predicted model, not a curated record